GAUCUGGUGGUGCGGGUGAUGCCGUCCAUUCUGGGUGGCCGCAAGGACGGGCUGACCCGGAUUGAUGAGUUCGAGGCCCGCCAUGUCG
RNAcentral lists this transfer RNA (88 nucleotides) under Mycobacteroides salmoniphilum. RNAcentral's name for it is "tRNA-Gln". The record is from RNAcentral. Lineage: Bacteria; Bacillati; Actinomycetota; Actinomycetes; Mycobacteriales; Mycobacteriaceae.